Molecule: long non-coding RNA, 277 nt
Organism: Hemibagrus wyckioides
Lineage: Eukaryota; Metazoa; Chordata; Actinopteri; Siluriformes; Bagridae
Exons: 3
Source: RefSeq, a predicted model, not a curated record
CAAGAGGGUGAGUAAAUUAUUUGUAAAUUUUUGUUCUGGAAGUGAACUUCUCCUUUAUGUCCAGAACCACCUCGACUCCAACACAGAAUAUGAAAGGUGCCAGAGAGAAGCCUGCAGUUUUGGAUCUGGUGUAAUUAUUCCUUCAGUAAAGGUAGAGUAUUAACCCAGGAGCUGAAGGUGGACGUGGACUUUCCUGGAGAUGAUUUUCUACAGAUUUACUCCCCAGACGUCCAGCACUGUCAGCUCGCCUGCACACAACACCCUUCCUGCUUAUUCU